This 567-nucleotide ribosomal RNA is filed under the name uncultured fungus. RNAcentral describes it as "eukaryotic LSU rRNA". The stretch from base 220 to 373 matches the Rfam family "5.8S ribosomal RNA". The record is from RNAcentral. Lineage: Eukaryota; Fungi.
AAGUCGUAACAAGGUCUCCGUUGGUGAACCAGCGGAGGGAUCAUUACAGAGUUAUCUAACUCCCAAACCCAUGUGAACUUACCUUUGUUGCCUCGGCAGUAGUUGCUGGGCGAGCCUACCCGGGAAAUCCUGGGACGACUUACCCUGUAACGCCUGCCGGUGGACUACUAAACUCUUGUUAUUUUUAAGUAAUCUGAGCGUCUUAUUUUAAUAAGUCAAAACUUUCAACAACGGAUCUCUUGGUUCUGGCAUCGAUGAAGAACGCAGCGAAAUGCGAUAAGUAAUGUGAAUUGCAGAAUUCAGUGAAUCAUCGAAUCUUUGAACGCACAUUGCGCCCAUUAGUAUUCUAGUGGGCAUGCCUGUUCGAGCGUCAUUUCAACCCUUAAGCCUAGCUUAGUAUUGGGAAUCGACUUUACUGUCGUUCCUCAAAUUCAACGGCGGAUUUAUAGCAAUCUCUGAACGUAGUAAUUUUUUUUCUCGUUUUUGAAAUACUAUAAACCUCAGCCGCUAAACCCCCAAUUUCUUAUGCUUGACCUCGGAUCAGGUAGGAAUACCCGCUGAACUUAA